CUACGGGCGGCAGCAGUGAGGAAUAUUGCGCAAUGGGGGAAACCCUGACGCAGCGACGCCGCGUGGAUGAUGAAGGCCUUCGGGUUGUAAAAUCCUGUCAGAUGGAAAGAACUGUUACAUGUCUAAUAUAUGUGUAACCUGACGGUACCAUCAAAGGAAGCACCGGCUAACUCCGUGCCAGCAGCCGCGGUAAUACGGAGGGUGCAAGCGUUGUUCGGAAUUACUGGGCGUAAAGCGCGCGUAGGCGGCUAUGUAAGUCAGAUGUGAAAGCCCAUGGCUCAACCAUGGACGUGCAUUUGAUACUGCAUGGCUUGAGUACUGGAGGGGGUGGUGGAAUUCCCGGUGUAGGGGUGAAAUUCGUAGAUAUCGGGAGGAAUACCGGUGGCGAAGGCGACCACCUGGCCAGAUACUGACGCUGAGGUGCGAAAGCGUGGGGAGCAAACAGGAUUAGAUACCCCCGUAGUC
This 465-nucleotide ribosomal RNA is filed under the name uncultured bacterium. RNAcentral describes it as "partial 16S ribosomal RNA". It matches the Rfam family "Bacterial small subunit ribosomal RNA", at positions 339 to 795 of the family's 1533-position model. The record is from RNAcentral.